RNAcentral lists this long non-coding RNA (2104 nucleotides) under Marmota monax (woodchuck). Lineage: Eukaryota; Metazoa; Chordata; Mammalia; Rodentia; Sciuridae. The record is from RNAcentral.
CAGAUUAUGCUUAGUGAAGCUAGCCAAUCCUUAAUAUAGAUAUUUUAUUCUUUAAUGUAUAUUAUUUUGCUCUUUAAUCUCUCUCUUCCUUGGUGUGUUAUACAUCUUUCACUUUAGAUAAGUUUUACCUAGCAUAAUUUAAUGAUGUAAACUAUUGUAGCCUAACAUAGCAGGGGACACAGUUGAGACGUUCAAAUGGAGAAAACAAAACUAAAAAAUGUUGACAGAGUAGUUAUUCAGCAGAAAAAAAAAUUUCAGAAGCUUAGCUUUAUUUCUUUUUAUUGUAAUCUUUGAACACAUACUACCCUACAUUUAUUACAUUUUCAAAUCCUUUGUAGUCCUCUGUUUUCUUCUUUAGUGAUGUCCCAGUUUAUUCAGACUAAUGACCAAAACUUACCUUUUGUUCUUAGGGCCAGCAUGAUCUGUUACAAAUCUUGUGAGGAAACCUGUAAAGAAGCAAACAGAAGAGAGAGACAUACAGUGAAAAGGAAAAAAGAAAAAAAAAAAAAAACUGGCCACUCCUCAUCCCGGCUGUACAUUGUAUACCCCAAAAUAUCAUAGCUUCUGUUACCAUGACUACAUUCUAACCUAGUGUUAUUUUAACCCCAAGUGAUAGCUAACCAAGAUAAGGUACAGUUACUACAAACAUAGAUCCCUUUCUCCCUAAGGACAUUACCACAGAAACUAGAUAGUGCACCUGUAGAGUUGUCUUAAUAGCUUCAGGGAGAAACUGCUAGGCAUUACUAUUGUGGAACUCAGGGUGCCAGUUAUCAUCACCCCCACACUUUCCUGUCUAUUUCCAUGGUCAGAAUACCUACAGCCUCCCCUCCUUUUUAAAUACCUUUUGAAAAAGUAAUAUUACUUAUCUUGUUAAUGCUGGUGGGGGCAAAAAAUAAGGCAGCCAUACACAACAGCAAGUGCCAACAUCAGUAAAUAUCCACCUAUAAAUAUUUUUUGACCCAGAUCAAAUUGAGUAAACAUGAAAUUAUCCAAUCCAACAAGUCUAAACAUCAAUCAUCUUGUUGGACCUUAUUAAUGAUAUUUUUAAGGUAAUCUAACUCUUUAGAAAUAAAAUUACUAUUAUCACUUACAUUGAAGGAACACAUGUUAUUAAACUUAUGAUAUCCAUUAUGAUGUAACAAUACCAGACACUCAAGUGCAGCAUGAAUGUCAAGUAUGGCUUGACAAUGUUGUUUUUGUUCUUCAUUAAGCAUAUUAACAGCCAUGGAGGCAUGGCUAAUACUUUUUAUGAUAGGAUAGGUGAAUUUCAUAGUAGUUUCAUAAGGCCAUAGAGCUAGUCCAAGGAAACCCGCUAAGGAGAAUGUCAAAGUAUCACAUUCUGCCUUAGAGAGAAGGUUCACUCAAUUAUCACAGUUUUUAUCAAGAAGAAUAGAUCUUUUUUAAAUAAAUUGCACAGGAUGGUGACCUAUUAAAUACUAUGUGGAUGAUAAGGACACAGUUAUUCUGCUAAGACAACAAUGAGUACCAUUAGAAAUUUUUGCAGGUAUACAACAAUUUCAUUCAAGUGAGUCAAGCUAUUGUAAUGGGUUGUAGAAGUCCAGGAUCUGACAGUACUGAAUUACCCACAGCGGGUGUACAAAAGCAGGGUAACGUUAUUAUUAAGACCAAAACAUUUACAGAGUUUUGAGUGAGUGUAGCAAUCAAAGCAGUAACUAAGUUAUCCAGAGUACAUUCUAACCUAUUUGAGCCAACACCUUUUGAGCUGAGGCUAUUAACGGUUUUAUUUCCCCCAUGUAACUGGAAUUAUAGUAUCUUGUGUUCCUCUUUUAAUGUUUCUCCUCUUUUGAGGAGAAUGAUUAUUCUCUUGUUUGGAGGGACUCUUCUCUUCCAGGGUUAAAUGAAUUUUAUGAAUAAGCUUGUCAAGUCCCUGAUAUACAUUUAUAAUUGCUAUAUUUCAUGAAUCAAGCUAGAGUCAAAAAGAACAUGUUGGCAUAAGUUUAACAGUCUAUGCUUUUCCCCAUGUGAUCAAAAGCAUAGUAUCUUGCGAUGCUGAUAAGGUGGAAUCUUUUAUAUAUAUAUUUUUUUUUAAAGAUUCAAUUCUUUUGUUACUUGCAAUAAUGCAUUGAUGAUCAUAAAUAUUUUG